AGGGGAANGUACCGACAAAUCUGCUCNGUCGAUCGAUUGGUAUUAAGAGCUUGCUCUUAUGAAGUUAGCGGCGGACGGGUGAGUAACACGUGGGUAACCUGCCCAUAAGACUGGGAUAACUCCGGGAAACCGGGGCUAAUACCGGAUAACAUUUUGAACCGCAUGGUUCGAAAUUGAAAGGCGGCUUCGGCUGUCACUUAUGGAUGGACCCGCGUCGCAUUAGCUAGUUGGUGAGGUAACGGCUCACCAAGGCAACGAUGCGUAGCCGACCUGAGAGGGUGAUCGGCCACACUGGGACUGAGACACGGCCCAGACUCCUACGGGAGGCAGCAGUAGGGAAUCUUCCGCAAUGGACGAAAGUCUGACGGAGCAACGCCGCGUGAGUGAUGAAGGCUUUCGGGUCGUAAAACUCUGUUGUUAGGGAAGAACAAGUGCUAGUUGAAUAAGCUGGCACCUUGACGGUACCUAACCAGAAAGCCACGGCUAACUACGUGCCAGCAGCCGCGGUAAUACGUAGGUGGCAAGCGUUAUCCGGAAUUAUUGGGCGUAAAGCGCGCGCAGGUGGUUUCUUAAGUCUGAUGUGAAAGCCCACGGCUCAACCGUGGAGGGUCAUUGGAAACUGGGAGACUUGAGUGCAGAAGAGGGAAGANGACUUCCNGUGUAUCGGGGAAAUGAGUUAGUAUGGAGGGACACGGUAUGAGAAAGUGGUUUUUUCUGGUGUUUCACCAGC
This 730-nucleotide ribosomal RNA is filed under the name Bacillus cereus. RNAcentral's name for it is "bacterial SSU rRNA". It matches the Rfam family "Bacterial small subunit ribosomal RNA", at positions 76 to 744 of the family's 1533-position model. Lineage: Bacteria; Bacillati; Bacillota; Bacilli; Caryophanales; Bacillaceae. The record is from RNAcentral.